AGUAGUAUAUGUAGUUGUACGUGGUAUUUCACUAGUAUAUGUAGUUGUUUGUGUAGUAUUUCACUAGUAUAUGUAGUUGUGUGUAGUAUUUUACUAGUGGUCUUGGUUUGUGGGUCUACUUUAUCCCAGAAUUUUCUAUACUGGGAUUGGAAGGAGGCACCGCUGCAUAUAGACGAGCUUCAUUUCAGGAACUGAAUCAAACCCUGAAUCUGCCGUAUCGUCAUGGUGACCCAAUGCAUCCCAGGUUCUGUUAGUGUUCUUCUCAUGCUGGUAGCUCUUCAUGUCAGCCUUACACACCUGGAGCUACUCUGGUGUUUGGGAGAAAAUCAGAUGGUUAAUCCAUCCAGUCUCCUGCAGAUGAUGAAGAUGAAGCCUCAUCCUGUUUAUCUUUGAUGGAAACAUCAACUAUUUCUCCACCAUCAGACAGAACCACAACUGAACCUGAACCAGGCUGCAUGUCUGUGCUCCGACAACCAGAGACCACAGGUUUCACUUCCGUUCUCUGAAACAGACUCGCUGUUUCUGCAUUUCUUCUGAGAUCAAACACCAGGAAGUAAACGGCUGCAGAGCUCUGCUGGUUCCACCACCAGAACCUGCUGAUGGAUCUGCAGUGGAUGUUGUUGCUGAUGGUUCUGGUCUGUUCAGAAACUCAGAAUGUAACGGAUCAAACGGUCAAAGCAGAACUUGGACAGGCUGUUACUUUAACCUGCUCCUUUAACUUCACUGACAUCUACUGGUACAUGGAGGUCCACCACAAGAUCAGAGCGAGUAUUGGACGCUCCUAUUCUCCAACAUCGUCCACCUUCAGCUCUCCUGACUUUGAAAGCAAGUAUCUGAUAUCUGAGAACAGACUGGUGGUGAAAGACAUCUCUGCAGAGGACUUCAGAAGGUACUUCUGUGGCAGGAAGAUCAGCGGGUCGAUAGUUUAUGGAGAUACCUUCAGGCUGGUCUCAGGUAGGACUUUAGGUUUAAUCCAGGAAACUAUAUUCAAGUCAUCAAAGCAGACUUUCAGUUUGAUUGCAGGAGCAAAUACAACUUCUAAUAUGAAAUGAUCUUCUGAAAUCCUAACAUGAAACAGUAGGAGGCGACAUUAACCAGGAAGUACCAAGUUGUGUCUGAGGUCAUCCAUCCAUACUUUUCUAGAGAAACUGGACCUCUGCAGGGUGGAGGGGGACAGUGUCCACCUGCAGUGGUCAGUGAGUGAGAAACUCUGGAAAGGUCUCCAGUCAGGGUCACUGUAGACACUUUCUUACUGCUUUUCAGAAGCUGUGAAGGACGACUUUAGGUAGAAAUCUGUUAUUUUUCUGCAGAGUAUCUCCAUCAGGUCUAGAAAGGACAGGUCCACCAUGAUGUCCAUCCUGAAUGUUCAUGCAUUAAACUACAUCACAUGUAAUGGACCUUGCAGCUCUGGAGAGUAGAAAACUACCCAGCACGUUCCUCAGUCCACUUCUCCACCAGAUGUUCCUCACUGUGAAGCUGACCAUCAUUUACUGCUCAGCUGUGGUCCUCAGCUUCCUGCUCUCUCUAACAGCAGCUCUGCUUUGUUCUUGUUGGAAGAGGAAAAGAGUCCAGGUGGAUGAAGCCUCCAACCAGCAGCUGCUGCAGCUCUGACUGCUGCUGGAACCUGGACUGAUGAAGCUACCAUCUCCUGAUAGACAUCAACCUGCUGCUCUGGACCUCAGUCUGAACACCUCCACUCAGACUGGUACCACCAAGGACUCUGGUCUUCAUAAACACAGUAAACAGUGGAGAUGAUUCUUUCUGAAGGUCUUCUUUAGAUAAAACCCCAGCAGUCCACCUCUAAGGGACAGUUGCUCCUCUCAACCUUCUGCAGAACAGAAGCUUCUUCAUUUAAUGCAAAGUGUUAAAGAUUCUGGACAGUGUUGGACCUUCUGAAACAGAGAUGAUCAGACCACCAACUGUGAAUCUGAAGCAGAGGUGUGACUUCUGAUCUGAGUUUGUGAUUUUAUUGGUUCUUCUUCUGUGUUUAGUUUUAUUGUUCUGCUUCAUUCCUGAUCUUUUUAGAUGUUCAGCAUUUUGUCUAAACUGUAAUCAAGAAAAGAUAUGAUCAUGUAUUUUGGUUCAGCAAAAUUUGUUAAAUGUAAAUCCAAUAUUGAAGUAUUCUGAACAUUAAAAGAUUGUAAGUUAUGCAUUAGCUAAAUAAUGUAUGUAUGUAUUGUACUUUUUAAAGGGUGGUAAGAACAUUUUAGAAUAUUUUGUGUCACUUGUGCAUAUCUACCAGAGUAAUAUCAAGUAUGGUCCCUAGAUUAGUGUCUCAGCUUCAUGUUGUUUAUUAUAAAAAUGACUUAUCUUGAUUGAACUGGCAUGAUAAUUUAUUGUAUAAUAUGGUUUUACAAUAUUAUUAAAACCCUAAAGGUUGUGGUA
Molecule: RNA transcript, 2385 nt
Organism: Girardinichthys multiradiatus
Lineage: Eukaryota; Metazoa; Chordata; Actinopteri; Cyprinodontiformes; Goodeidae
Exons: 3
Source: RefSeq, a predicted model, not a curated record